AGGGGUCACGUGAUCGCCUUUGAAUCGCCAUUGUUUACCCGCGCUUCAGUUACUCACUUAUCGCGACAUGGCGUCUGUGUGCGUGGUCGAGUCGCGAUCGCUCCGUGUUUCCGCGUCCUCUAUAUCCUUCUCGGGCGAGCUUCGCGCCACGGACGAGUGUCGGGAGUGUCGAACCUAGUGACGCGCGACCGUCGUGGUGUAUUAUUUCGGCCGGACAGCGUCAGUGCUCGUGUCUCGCGUCUGACGAUCGGCGUGUCGCCGUCGUGUUCCCUUAUAGAAAUUUAAUACUAAUAAGUGAUAAUUUAGCCAGUGAAAAUUACUAGUUUACUGGCCAAUUUUAUUACUGGCCAAUUUAUUACAGCCAGUGAUAUUUUUCUAUAAGGAUUGUAAGAACCGUAGACCCUUUCGAAGCCGUGUUAAAGUACGCGAGUCGUGUAUCCUGCAACGCUCGUCCGCCUAAUUGAUUCCAUGGACGUCAUUCCGCAUUGGGAGCAUCGGAAAAGGAGCAUCCAGGAACUGCUACAACGACUAACCGGCUGGCGCGAUCCCCCUCUCCCCUCUGCAGCGUCGACGAGACAACAAGCUAACGGAGAUCGAUCUCGCCGGUGAGUGGAGGUAGGAAGGUCAAAGUGCGGAAAUCGCGAGAAGAAAGAACACUGGCUCCGGAAAAAAGCGAGACAGAGGGUGAGGGAGAACGAGCAAGAGAGGAGGACGGGGAGUGGAGCAGCAGCAGCAGCAGCAGCAGCAGCAGCAGGAGAAAGAGGAGGAGAAGGGGCAGGCGAAGAGAGCAGAGCGCCGACCUGGAUUGUUUUCGUCGCGAGGAGGAUUGCUCGGCCGGAAGUUGCGAAUUCGGAAGAGACUCAGAGAGGAGAGGAAGUAGAGUGUUCCGGCGCUCUCGUCGUACUUUUUCCCGGGACGGACGGACAGGAAUAACGCGACAGGGAUUUUGGACGGCUACAUUCUUCAAACGUCACAAAUCAAGACUGUCAAGAAUGUUUAACGACCAACUAGAUCUCGAGCGCUUCUUCAACGAUCUCCACUAUUUCUAUCUCCGGACAUGGCACGUCAUCGCUUUGACAUUCAUCUCAUCACGCCGACGAUUCUUCAGCAACACUUCGACGCAACGUAUUCCCUGCUAAACGUGAAUAUUCCGGACGGGACACCGGCGAAGAGAGAAAAAAUGCUAACGCGUUUUGAAAUCGCUGCCUCCGCAAGUUCUGUGCUUGCGGCCUGCACAAGUAGUCUGAACAGUCGCGAGGAGCAGCGGCGGCGGCGGCGGCAGCAACUUCGUCCAAUUAACUCGACGUACAUUUUACAAGGAAAGGAAAGCGUUAAGGCGUGCCGGGGAGAAACAAUGAGGAAAAGAGAAGUGGGAACGUCGAGAGUCGUGGAGCUUUCGCCGGCGCCAGCCCCGAAGAGGGAUAAAGCAACGCGACAAGGAAUCGUUACUUAACGAGACAUUUAGCAACUAACCAUUGCACGCGUUACAGCUGCUUUAUAAUUAACCGUGUAACCUAAUAAUAUCGCGUUCACCUCAUCAAUCGCGUGCACAAAGCCCGACAGUUGACUCGAGUCUCGAGUCGAAAUUUUGCUUCGCAUUAAUCUUGCAAAUUCCAUCAAACUUGAAAGACCAACGGGUCAGAAUAAAUAUCGAAGCGUAACGCUAUGAAAUAAUUAACUCCUACUGUACCCGAGUCGAAAUUUUAGCCCUAUAUUAAACCCUGAAUUCUACAACGCAGUAGGAACUAAGUUAGCAA
Molecule: RNA transcript, 1757 nt
Organism: Odontomachus brunneus
Lineage: Eukaryota; Metazoa; Arthropoda; Insecta; Hymenoptera; Formicidae
Exons: 4
Source: RefSeq, a predicted model, not a curated record